This is a long non-coding RNA of Bombus huntii, 2638 nucleotides long. RefSeq lists it as uncharacterized. The record is from RefSeq and is a predicted model, not a curated record. Lineage: Eukaryota; Metazoa; Arthropoda; Insecta; Hymenoptera; Apidae. The transcript has 3 exons.
UCCUGGAAUAUAAACGAUUUCGAAAUUAAAGAUACACCUGUUAAACAAAAUAGCGUCGUUUAUUCUCCUUACAAAGUAGAUGUUUCAAAAGAAUAACCUACGAUUAAUAUGAAUAUUUGAGAAGUUUUAUUGAUUUCAUAUUUCGCGAAUGUGCUGAAACGAUAAGAAAGAAGGCUGGAAUUCUCAGGGUAUUAAUUACGUUCAAUUAAGCCCGAGGAUUCAUUACUUUGUUGCAUUCACACGACAGAUUCUAAUUACGCGAAACUUUUCCCAAUUUAAUUGCUCGAGCAGGAGCUGGCCUCUUCUUUAAACACCUUGUAAUUAUAUACCGAAAAUAAAAUCUAAAAAUCGUUCGUUAAUUAUCGUCAUUCCACUUGAAAGUGUUUUUAGCGACAUGACAGUUACGUAAUUAAUACGAUUAAUUAAAUAUCAAGACGAACGUUUUCUUAAUUACACCUUUGAUACCGUACGACUACGAUCAAAUAUUUUCUCUUUAAUUUCUCUUAUUCGUAUCCUCCGAGAAAAGCAUGAAAUUAGAAUUCCUAAAUUUCAAGUAACUCCACGUUCUUUCUGUGUGUGUUUACUUUUAACGUACUUCAUCAAAGUUAUAAAACUACACUUGUAUCUGACAGCUUUUCAAAUUUGAUUUUCUCGAAACCGAGACUGCAAUUGGGACAAAUUUUCUGCCACGUUCUCCACUCGUUUCAAUUUCACAAGUUUAAAAAAGCAGAAAACAAGAAACGUUUCUGUUGUUAUUUCUUUAUUUAGCUUUUCAGUAUUUAAACUCGCCCCGCUCGACAUUUCUAUAUUCUUUUGAUAACUGCAUUGUCACGUAAGCGUUUAUUAUAUAUUCGAUAAAACGCCUUUAUGAUAUUCAACACUGAAUCAUCAAUAGCGCUUUUUUUUGUUUUUUAGGUUAUCUCCUGCGCUCCUCAAUAUUAUUACUAUUAUUAAUAUUUUCAAUAAAAUAAUAACUAUUUAUUGUACCCGGGCUCAUAACCUAUUGUUAUUUCUGUAUUUAGAGGUAGGAUCACAAUAUCGUGUUAUUAAUUUAUUCUUCGGAUAAAUUUAUCACAUCGUUGUGAGCUGAAUAAACUUUAUUGCACGUUCUUACAUGGACUAGGGAUAAAAAGAAAAGAAUAUCUUAAACCUAUCGAUUAAAUCUAUCGAUUAUAUCUAAAACUAUCUUCUAGUUACUAUUUAUUGUAACUAGCGCAUCUGAAUAUAGAUGGCGAGCGCGAACUCACAUUGUCAUUUUCAACAGUUUCUCAUGCAAUCAACGAAUCUGUGUCACACGAUCGAGCUAUUAUUGGCUUGGCAACAAAGUGAUUGCGGAUUUUGUCAACCUAAUAUUAUCGCGUUACGUUAGACCGACCUUUGAUUGAUAUCGAUACGCUGAAAAUACUCUGUAGCAGGGUAUUUGGAAUAGCAAUAACAAAUGGACACGCUGCUCGAGUUGAUUGAUUUAUUCAUAGGAAAGAAUCGGUUUGCAGAAGCAAGUGUUAAUUUGGAAAACAUCAGCGUGACGUUGACACGCUAUAAAACACUUUAUAGUUGAGGAAGCUCGAAAGUCGUGAGUAACGGUGAAUUGCAAGAGCCGGCUGAGUUUAAUUCACGUCACAGUUUUCACGACUUUAAAUAACCUACCUUGCAGCUUCAAACCUCACAACCUACCGUCUGACGUCGUAAAGGUUAAUCACAGUCGUGGACACUUUUUAAAAUAGAACAAUUCUUUUCAAACCGGACUAAACGACUAACUUCACACACAGGAUCAUAUGACCAGCUUCCUGGAAGCUACGAGGAUCAGUUUGCUGGAUGACGCGUAGAAAACAUUCUGAGAAAAUUGCGAUCGACCGGAAUCGCGAAGAUCGUUCUUUAUUUUAAAAUUUAAGCAACACGUUUUCCACAAUUAUGUCGCGAUUCGCGGAUUACAAAUGGAAUUUGUUUUUGAACUCGACUAAGUAACGCAAACUACUCUUUUAUCAACAGGAGAUUGUUCUAGGUACGAAAAGAAGCCAGAGAAUAACAUUUAUUCGUUUAUGGCCUCAUUUUCGAGAAGAUAAAGUUCGAUGUACGAUACAUUUAAAAAUUUAUUUUUCUCGAAAACAAAGAAUUUUAUAAAAGAAUUUUAUCCUGAAUUUUCGACUUAUUCUCACGCGCGGUUUUACCUCCUGUCGAUUAAUUGCUCCUGUUCGAUCCGCGAUUAGCCAAGUUUCAAGUAUAUUCGUCACAUGUUUAAUUUUCCCGGAAAUUGAAUUUUCUCGUCCUACGAAAAAAUUGUUUUCUCUCUUUCUGACUCAUUUUUACAUCAUCAGUCGCGGCAUAACUCUUGAAAACGCGUUGUUUAAAUUUCCCUUACAGGUUUGAAAAGUUGUAAAGAAAAUUGUCCCUUGCUUUUCUCUUCGCCAUUUCGAUCAAUCGGAAUUUUCUGAAAAUUAUUUUAUCCAGUAAAGCAAUUGUUCUAACUUCUGAAGAACAGCACGUCGUUUGACCCGAUUUCAAGAAACUUUUUUAUUUAUUUUUGUCAUCUUAAAAAAGUGUAAUACAAUAUCUUAAUUCUGUGCCAUGAAAUCUUGUCAAAUUCAACCACCGUGCGCACUGAACAUUUGUUUAAAUUAAAUGCACGUGUUUUCUUUAA